AACGCACGAGACCUGCGGACCUGCGGAAGGAUCAUUACCGAGUUUACAACUCCCAAACCCCUGUGAACUUAUACCUUUACUGUUGCUUCGGCGGGUCAUUGCCCCGGGGAAACAGGUGCCGCCAGGUCCCUGCCCCCCCGGAAACAGGCGCCCGCCGGGGGACUCAAACUCUUCUGUAUUUUUUGUUUACUGUAUACUGUCUGAGUAAAAAUUCAUAAUGAAUCAAAACUUUUAGCAACG
RNAcentral lists this unclassified non-coding RNA (240 nucleotides) under soil metagenome. Its description in RNAcentral is "partial contains 5.8S ribosomal RNA, internal transcribed spacer 2, and large subunit ribosomal RNA". The record is from RNAcentral.